GUAGGUGGGCAAGCGUUGUCCGGAAUUAUUGGGCGUAAAGCGCGCGCAGGCGGUCCCUUUAAGUCUGAUGUGAAAGCCCACGGCUCAACCGUGGAGGGUCAUUGGAAACUGGGGGACUUGAGUACAGAAGAGGAAAGCGGAAUUCCAAGUGUAGCGGUGAAAUGCGUAGAGAUUUGGAGGAACACCAGUGGCGAAGGCGGCUUUCUGGUCUGUAACUGACGCUGAGGCGCGAAAGCGUGGGGAGCAAACAGGAUUAGAUACCCUGGUAGUCCACGCCGUAAACGAUGAGUGCUAAGUGUUAGGGGGUUUCCGCCCCUUAGUGCUGCAGCUAACGCAUUAAGCACCCCGCCUGGGGAGUACGGCCGCAAGGCUG
This 373-nucleotide ribosomal RNA is filed under the name uncultured organism. Its description in RNAcentral is "partial 16S ribosomal RNA". It matches the Rfam family "Bacterial small subunit ribosomal RNA", at positions 526 to 896 of the family's 1533-position model. The record is from RNAcentral.